AUGCCCCUCUGCUUUGGGGUCACCGGCGCCAAGCUCGACUUCGCCAAGAUCAGCCGCUUCACCGCCACCCAACUCAUUCUCGUCGUCGCCUUCACCACACUGCUCGGCACCACCGGGAGGGUGGCCGGCACGGUGGCAGCGGGGCGGAUGAUCGGCGUCCAUGCGCGGGAGACGCUCGUGCUCGGCUUACUGCUCAACGUCAAAGGCUACGUGGACAUCCUCGCGAUCAACCUUAGCGACAAGGCCGGGAUUUGGGGCGACGAGGCGCAGAGUGUGCUUCUCGUGUCCUCCAUCGUCAACACCUUAAUGGCCGGGCCAGCGUCCGCCGCCAUCGUCCGCCAGCAGCGCCGCGCCUUCCAGUACUGCUCGCACUGCCUCCAAGACCUCAAGUUGGACCAGGAGCUUCGGGUCCUCUUGUGCGUCCACGGCGCCGGGAGCGUCCAUGCCAUGCUCACGCUGGCCGAGAUCUCCAAGGGCAACACGCCGGUGGUCAUAUACCUCCUUCACCUCAUCGAGCUCAUGACCGCGCGCAAGUACGCCAUCACACAUUUCUACCACCCCAAGGGCGGCGCCGAUGACGACAACGGCCGGUGGAGCCACACCCGGAAGAUCGACCAGGUGGUCGCCGCGGUCGACCGCUUCACAAACGAUACCAUUGUCGCAGUGCGUCAGAUGACGGCCAUCUCCAGCCUUGUCUCCAUGGACGCCAACGUGUGCAAUGGCGUCGAGGACACACGCGCGUCCCUGGUCAUCGUGCUGUUCCACAAGGAGCAGCGCUACGACAGGCGGAUGGUGUGCCGCCGCGAGGGCCGGCGGGAGCUCAACCAAAGGAUCCUGCAGAGAGCGUCGUGCACCAUCGGGAUCCUCGUCGAGCGCCGCCUCGGUACCAUUACCAUAGCGGAGAGGCAGUCAACGGCCGAGGGCAUUCGGAGCGGGGCGGUAGACCCCAAAGCCGAAGACUCAGCCCAGCGCACAACGUGGUGGCUCUGUUCCUCGGCGGACCAGACGACCGGGAGGCUGUGGCGUACGCGACGCGGCUGGCGGCCCACCCGUCGGUGA
Molecule: ribosomal RNA, 1059 nt
Filed under: Triticum aestivum (bread wheat)
Lineage: Eukaryota; Viridiplantae; Streptophyta; Magnoliopsida; Poales; Poaceae
Description: partial small subunit ribosomal RNA
Source: RNAcentral